UUCCCGCCGGGCCGGCGCCGCUGGCCCGGCUGCGGUCUCUGCGCUGCCCUCGGGCUCCGUUCCUCCUCCCGCCCCGGGCUUCGGUCUCGCGGGGCAGGGUGGGGGCUGAUCGCGCAGGACUGGAAAAUUGCCGAAAGCAUCUUAAAGGCGGAGAUGUCAUGAAAAAUUGCCAAACAGGACGUGCCAGGUCACAAGGACUGGUGGACCCUGCACCUAAAGAUAACAUAGGUGCAAACUGAAACCUGUGCAAAAGCAGCUGAAGCGUCCUAUUUUGCAUCUGGCCUGAUUACCCAACUACAAGCCCCUUGUCCUUUAUAACUCCAUGAAAGCUCACGGCCCCAACCUUUUGGGGCUGGUGUAACUCUUUACACUUGGCUCCUUUCCUCUCUUGGAAAGUGACAAAAACUUUGCUCUCCAUAUUUUCUAUUCUUUGUGGCCCAUAUGGAGACCAUUAACUCCUCUCCACCUUCUGAGACUUGUGACCAGAGGAGCAGUGGUCAGCUUGUCCCAGGCUAACCCCCUGACCCUGCCUUGGGGCCUAGAGGAACCCUCCCUCUCACCUCCUCUCCGCGUCAUCCAUCCCUGCAGACAGCCUCCUUGUCACCCAUGUCCACAGUCAGCAAUCGAUUUCCUCGGCCUCCUCCAGACUUGGGACUGACGCCCGGGCCUUGGACCGGGCUCGCCUUCGCACCAUGGAAUUGGCCCAGCCUCGCGUAACUCCAUUGCAGGUCCUGAACACGUUACCUCCGGACCCCCAGCAAUCUCCUCUUGAGCACUCUUGCAUCGUGGUCGUAGGACAAACCACCACAGCUCAUGCCAACCUCAGGUACUCCCCUGUCCUCGCCUGAUCACAAUCGCUUCGUGGACGGCAGCAGUUACACCCUCAGUGGACCAGGGGAAGCGGGAUAUGCAGUAGUUACGGCCACUCGCACAGUUGAACGCUCUCUCUUACCACCCUACACCUCACCCCAGAAAGCUGAACUUGCCACACGUAUAAGGGCAGUGCAACUAGGAAAGGGCCUAAAAGUCAGCAUUCACACAGAUUCCAAAUAUGCCUAUCCCAGUCUGCAUUCUCGUGCCGC
Pteronotus mesoamericanus is the source of this 1082-nucleotide long non-coding RNA. RefSeq lists it as uncharacterized. The record is from RefSeq and is a predicted model, not a curated record. The transcript has 4 exons. NCBI's taxonomy places the organism in Eukaryota, Metazoa, Chordata, Mammalia, Chiroptera, Mormoopidae.